AACGAACGCUGGCGGCAGGCCUAACACAUGCAAGUCGAGCGCAUCCUUCGGGAUGAGCGGCGGACGGGUGAGUAACGCGUGGGAAUAUGCCCUUCUCUACGGAAUAGUCUCGGGAAACUGGGGGUAAUACCGUAUACGCCCUACGGGGGAAAGAUUUAUCGGAGAAGGAUUAGCCCGCGUUGGAUUAGCUUGUUGGUGAGGUAAUGGCUCACCAAGGCGACGAUCCAUAGCUGGUUUGAGAGGAUGAUCAGCCACACUGGGACUGAGACACGGCCCAGACUCCUACGGGAGGCAGCAGUGGGGAAUCUUAGACAAUGGGGGAAACCCUGAUCUAGCCAUGCCGCGUGAGUGAUGAAGGCCUUAGGGUUGUAAAGCUCUUUCAGCUGGGAAGAUAAUGACUGUACCAGCAGAAGAAGCCCCGGCUAACUCCGUGCCAGCCGCCGCAGUAAAAC
RNAcentral lists this ribosomal RNA (452 nucleotides) under uncultured bacterium. Its description in RNAcentral is "bacterial SSU rRNA". It matches the Rfam family "Bacterial small subunit ribosomal RNA", at positions 29 to 526 of the family's 1533-position model. The record is from RNAcentral.